CCUACGGGGGACAGCAGUGAGGAAUAUUGGUCAAUGGCCGGAAGGCUGAACCAGCCAUGCCGCGUGAAGGUCAGUGCCCUAUGGGCGUUAAACUUCUUUUGUGCGGGAGCAAUAAUGGUCACGUGUGGCCAGACGAGAGUACCGUACGAAUAAGCAUCGGCUAACUCCGUGCCAGCAGCCGCGGUAAUACGGGGGAUGCAAGCGUUAUCCGGAUUUAUUGGGUUUAAAGGGUGCGUAGGCUGUGAGGUAAGUCAGCGGUGAAAUGCCCCCGCUCAACGGGGUGAAGUGCCAUUGAUACUGCCUGGCUGGAAUGCGGAUGCCGUGGGAGGAAUGUGUGGUGUAGCGGUGAAAUGCAUAGAUAUCACACAGAACACCGAUUGCGAAGGCAUCUCACGAAUCCGCGAUUGACGCUGAUGCACGAAAGCGUGGGUAUCAAACAGGAUUAGAUACCCGUGUAGUC
RNAcentral lists this ribosomal RNA (460 nucleotides) under uncultured bacterium. RNAcentral describes it as "partial 16S ribosomal RNA". It matches the Rfam family "Bacterial small subunit ribosomal RNA", at positions 338 to 795 of the family's 1533-position model. The record is from RNAcentral.